CUCCUGGCAAUAGUAGGUUAUUAGCAACUGGUUGGGUUCUCAUAACUUGCAAAAGACUCUCAAAGGCUAACAUAUGGCAAUAUUUAAAUAAUUAUACACCCACACCCUUUUGGGGGAGGUGGAGUGAUUAAGAUUUAGGAUUCCACUGUGGUUAUAGCUGUAUUCAGGCAAAGCAGAAAAUGCUGAACUUAAAGGCAGCCUAAAUGAGUUAAGAACUCAUCUGAUUGACUAGCGGAGGCAUGUUUAGGAGGGCACACACUAGCAACACCAAGAAUCUCUAGGAUCUCUGUCUUAUUAAAACAGACUGAAAACAUUUGUGCUGAGGUUAUAUAGACUCCAUUGGAAGAUGGGAAUGAUGACCACAAGCCACAUGGAACUUCACCUUCUCACAUAUAUAUCACAAGACUCCUGGUUGACAAACUGGCCCUUUGUGUUUCUAAAGGCCACCUCAUUGGCCUAAAACACUUCACAGGGGUCCAACCACCCUUGAGGGGACAGGAUAAGACCUGGAAGCAUCAGAUCUAAAUUAGCUGAACCAAUUACAGAAAUCAAGUACUUUCUGAGAAUCAGACAAGACAGCAAUGCUGAAGAAGUAUCUGGUGAACUGAAUGGCAAUUUAAACUGAAAAUGGAAAUGAAAUGGAAAGAGUUGACAGGAAACUUUCAGCAUCUUCCUUCACGAUCAACAUAUAGAGUUCGUUUUCUGUAAAAGAAUGAAGAUCCACUUUUUCUUCAUAAAAUGCAAGCAACAGACUGCAAAAUCAUCUGACUGCUUAUUGCAGACCAAGUCAAGCCCUUCCUCUAUUUUCAAUUGCUUUCCAGUUGCUAGACACAGGAGUCUAAACCCUAUAACCUAAAUAUUAAAGCUCUGAAAAAUCACGGCCUUAUCUAUGCCCCCACAGGGCUAGCACAUUAUCUAUCCCAACAAUUAUUUUCUUAAUUCAUGCCUAAAUUCCUUUUCUUGUGCUGAGUCUUCCACCAAUGAUACAUUUACCCCUUCUUUCUAUCACACAAUGUUUUCAGGCCCUAACCAGAAUCCUCUCUUCUAGAAAAACAUAAGCCCAUAAUAAUCUCCUUUAAACAACUAUUGUAUACAUUUUCUGUACCAUACAGUUGGUACUUUAAUAUGUACAUAUCUUUUCUCUUCAAUUGGAUCACACACUCCUUAAUGUCAAAGCUUAUAAUUCUGUUUUCCAAAUGCCUGCCACAUAAUAUUUGCUCACUUUAAUACUGUUGAAUGAAUCGAUGCAGCAAAAACUUUGACACUGAGAAAAGGAACAAGUAAGCAGAUAUGUGAGAGGUUGAUAGAGCUACAGAGUAAGGAAAAUAAAAGAUAAAAGACCAAUAACCUAUGAGAUAAUGUACUAGGAAAGAAAAGGUAAAGGAAACAAACACAUUUUUAGAAGAGCUACCAGAAUUCUUUCUAAAAUUGAUUCAAAGCACAGAGAGUCAGAGGCUACACUGAAAAAAAAGCAGCAAACUUUGGUGAAAAAAAAAAUCACUAGAUUGGCAGCCAGGGUUAUCAUGUUUGGUAUAAAAUCUGCCAUUAAUUGCAAUUUAGGACAAGCUAUUUAACUGCCAUUGGCAAUUCAUCUCUAAACUUAGAACUCUACAUGUGGUGAUCUCUGAAUUCCCCUUUGCAUCAGGUAAUCUAGGAUUCUAUAGUUUUCAUUCACCUUGAGAAAGUUCCCAUUUCAUUUCUUCUGUGGAAAGAGGAACCUGAAUACACUAAAACUUAUGAUAAACUGAAUGUAGGAAGCUUCAGUAAGUAAGAGGGAGGUAAGAAAGGAAGGAUUAAAAUAACAACAUAAAAUAGAUCAAAUAGCUAUGAAUAUACUGCAAUUUCAGAAGCAGAGCAUUUCUUUAAUAUUUAGUUUACUUGAUCAUGUUAGCUGAGCGAUAUUCUUAUUGUGCUAGGUCAAGGACUUAGACUAAGACUGAGUGGAAGACAGAAAUGAGAGCUAGAGGCAACAUAUUCCAAAUUCUUGCUUUAGUUCAGUAAUAGAAAAGUAGCUAAUUGAUUGAAAAGGAGGUUAAGAAGCAUUAAAGAUCAUUUUGAUUAGGAGAAAACAUGUCAAUGUAAGAAUGUAAUUUAUAUCUUAUUUAAAAUAAUCACAUGCUAAAAGAUGUGGAUUAAUACAAGCAAAAUGAUGAAUUUACAAAGCAUUGAGAUGUCUGGAGGUAAAUUUUAAAAAGACUGCAAAUCAAAUGUCAUUUAACUUCUCUCUUUUCCCAGUCUCCCUUCCACACCAGUGCUAAUCACUCAGCACUCCCUUAAGCACCCAGUAUUUUCUUUUGUA
This is a non-coding RNA of Callithrix jacchus (white-tufted-ear marmoset), 2299 nucleotides long. NCBI's taxonomy places the organism in Eukaryota, Metazoa, Chordata, Mammalia, Primates, Cebidae. The record is from RefSeq and is a predicted model, not a curated record.